AGUCGAACGCAGUAGCAAUACUGAGUGGCAAACGGGUGAGUAUGAUGUGGGAAUCUGCCUUUUGGUUUGGAAUAACACGAGGAAACUUGUGCUAAUACCGGAUAAGCCUUCACAGGGAAAGUUUUAUACGCCGAAAGAUGAGCCCGCACUUGAUUAGCUAGUUGGUGAGGUAAAAGCUCACCAAGGCAACGAUCAAUAGCUGUUCUUAGAGGAAGACCAGCCACAUUGGGACUGAGACACGGCCCAGACUCCUACGGGAGGCAGCAGUAAGGAAUCUUGCACAAUGGGGGAAACCCUGAUGCAGCGAUGCCGCGUGAGUGAAGAAGGCCCUUGGGUUGUAAAACUCUUUCGUCGGGGAAGAAAAUGACUGUACCCGAAUAAGAAGGUCCGGCUAACUUCGUGCCAGCAGCCGCGGUAAUACGAAGGGACCUAGCGUAGUUCGGAAUUACUGGGCUUAAAGAGCUCGUAGGUGGUUAAAAAAGUUGAUGGUGAAAUCCCAAGGCUCAACCUUGGAACUGCCAUCAAAACUUUUUAGCUAGAGUGUGAUAGAGGAAAGUGGAAUUUCUAGUGUAGAGGUGAAAUUCGUAGAUAUUAGAAAGAACACCAAAUGCGAAGGCAACUUUCUGGGUCACUACUGACACUGAGGAGCGAAAGCAUGGGUAGCGAAGAGGAUUAGAUACCCUCGUAGUCCAUGCUGUAAACGAUGUGUGCUAGACGUUGGAAAUAUAUUUUUCAGUGUCGCAGCGAAAGCAUUAAGCACACCGCCUGGGGAGUACGACCGCAAGGUUAAAACUCAAAUGAAUGACGGGACCCGCACAA
This 819-nucleotide ribosomal RNA is filed under the name marine metagenome. Its description in RNAcentral is "bacterial SSU rRNA". It matches the Rfam family "Bacterial small subunit ribosomal RNA", at positions 60 to 928 of the family's 1533-position model. The record is from RNAcentral.